Molecule: long non-coding RNA, 261 nt
Filed under: Phaseolus vulgaris (common bean)
Lineage: Eukaryota; Viridiplantae; Streptophyta; Magnoliopsida; Fabales; Fabaceae
Description: long non-coding RNA (PVUL_LNC005345)
Source: RNAcentral
AGAAAACAAGUAAAAGGGUUUGAAAUUGUGAUUCCUACAUGAGAGAGGGAAAUAGAAGCAGAGGGAGUUGUGAAAUGUAAAUACUUUUAAACUUCCUUUCAUAGAAGUUGAAGUUGUAUUUGUGCUCAUGCUGUGUUGGGAGUGGCAUUGAAGCAGUGAGCAUUGCAAAUACCUUUUACUUCUGACAUUACAUUUUCCUCCUUAGAUUUCCAUUUAUUUAUAAAAUUUGCAGAGGCAGGAUGGUGUAGCCUGUCACCUGAC